GGAAGUAAAAGUCAACAAGGUUUCCGUAGGUGAACCUGCGGAAGGAUCAUUAACAAAUCCAAUCGGAUGCAGGAGAGGGGGGAGGAGAUGAGGGAGAGGGAGAGGAGGAGGGUGAUUAUGGCGACUGGGUGAUGACAGGAUUGUUGUUGCUUGGUUGCGGUGAUGACCCACCUACGCGCUCGCUCUCACGCUCUUCUGCCCCUUUUCCAUCCAAUUAUCAUAUACACCCGACAUAUGGGUUCUCUCUCGGGGGAGCCUGUAUAUUCGGUUCUCGGCUCUAACGGGUCGAGACAUGGACGCUUGAAUGUUUGACUGAGUUUAUUUUAUCCCAUGCUCUUCGGGGCGGGGAAUCACAAUAAAGACAACUUUUAACAAUGGAUCUCUUGGCUCUU
This 392-nucleotide unclassified non-coding RNA is filed under the name plant metagenome. RNAcentral's name for it is "partial contains small subunit ribosomal RNA, internal transcribed spacer 1, and 5.8S ribosomal RNA". The stretch from base 1 to 52 matches the Rfam family "Eukaryotic small subunit ribosomal RNA", at positions 1778 to 1831 of the family's 1831-position model. The record is from RNAcentral.